RNAcentral lists this ribosomal RNA (253 nucleotides) under uncultured bacterium. RNAcentral's name for it is "partial 16S ribosomal RNA". It matches the Rfam family "Bacterial small subunit ribosomal RNA", at positions 524 to 776 of the family's 1533-position model. The record is from RNAcentral.
UACGUAGGGUGCAAGCGUUGUCCGGAAUUAUUGGGCGUAAAGAGCUCGUAGGCGGUCUGUCGCGUCGGCUGUGAAACCUCGGGGCUCAACCCCGAGCCUGCAGUCGAUACGGGCAGACUAGAGUGCUGUAGGGGAGACUGGAAUUCCUGGUGUAGCGGUGAAAUGCGCAGAUAUCAGGAGGAACACCAGUGGCGAAGGCGGCCACCUGGACAGUAACUGACGCUGAGGCGCGAAAGCGUGGGUAGCAAACAGG